This is a long non-coding RNA of Oryctolagus cuniculus (rabbit), 1614 nucleotides long. The record is from Ensembl. NCBI's taxonomy places the organism in Eukaryota, Metazoa, Chordata, Mammalia, Lagomorpha, Leporidae.
AAUUAGAAGAAGAAAAUGUUUCACUCUGUCAUCCUAGGGAGAUAUGUAGGGAACUUGUAAAUGCAUACAGAUUUGCUUUGAAUUCUUUUUAAAAAUUAAUUUGCACUUUACUUGAAAGGCAGAGCAAGAGAUGGGGAAGAGAGAGAGGGAGAGAGAUCCAUCUUCCAUUCACUGAUUGCUUCCACAAAUGGCUGCAAAAGCCGGGUUUGGAACAGGACGAAGCCAGCAGCCAGGAAUGCUAUGCAUACAGGUGGAAAGGACGAGCCAUCACCUGCUGUCUUCCGGGAUGUGCGUUAUAAGGAAGCUGGAUCAGAGGGGAAUACUUGGGACCCCACCCACGUGCUCUGAUAAGGGGUGUGCGUGUCCAAAGGGGAGUCUUACGGCUGAGCCAAGUGUUGCUCCUGGCAGGAUUCUUAAGCCAAGCAUUUGUGUCAUCCUCUUUGCAUUAGCUACUUCAAAAGUAAUGUUUUUACUACAAUACUUUGUAACAUAAACGGCAGGAAAAACAAUAGAGCAAUGUGAAGACGAAGCUGACUCAGCUGUUAAAUCUGUUCAAAUGGCAGCUCCCUUCCAUUCAGGUGUACAACUGAGCGAUGCCUCACAGGCUCUGCUUGAACAGAUCAUUCCUUACCCGUAAUUAAAGCACCAUUCGCAGUUACUUUAGCAAACUGUUGCAUGCUUUCUGCUCCGGUCUCCAGGAGGCUGCCUGCCGUGUCUGGUAAAGGUAGACUGGCUUGAGAAUUAACUCACUACAAGGAAAUGAGCAGAUUGUAAUGCUAGCUCUGCUUAGUGGGCCUUUCGGGGUCUUCUUUUGUUUUCAAAUCAAGACUUUGGCUCCUGCAGGCCUCAGUGGGAGUUGAGUUGCUUAGUAACCCUGCACUCACUAAGGGCUGCUGCUAACAGGCACUGCAUUGGGAGGAACCGGGUAGAGCAGGCGGCUGGCAGCACUGCCACAGAGCUCCAAGAGAGCACACCGGAGCUCCAGAGCCCCCAGUUUUCUGUCCUGUUUGUUUUCACGCAUAUCAUUUGUUUGCAGAAAUUAAAAAAGCCCUCAAGGGAUGGAGGCCAAACUGUUGCCUGGAAGUCGUUCCUUCUGGUGAGAGAGAAGCCGUGGACCGCUGGAUUCGCAUUCAGAGCUGCCGCGAACGGGUGAGGAAGAAGGGCUUUGUUCCUGGACCACUCGAGAGCGUGUGGACAGGAGUCCGGCUUGGUGAGUUCAGUUUUCAGCAGUUACUUUCCGUCCCGUGGUUGCGUGUUUCCCACGGGACACACCUCUGCGGUAGCUUUUCUCACCUGUCUCGAGGGUCACAGCCCAGACCCCUAGGACAGACGACAGAUUUAUGUGACGUGGCAGCCCUCAGAAUGCAGACCGAGAGACCUGCAGAGUGGACGGCUGGGAUGCAAUCAGAAGGGCUGAGGGGAUCCCACGAGGCUCGCCUGUUGAGAUUCCCCUUGGCCUCUCUGUGCGGCAUUCCUUCCCCUUGGGUACAGGCCAAGGCCUUCUGGAACGAGGCUCUCUGUCUUUUGGUUUGCAGUACUCAGCGUGCUAAAGUGCCACACUUUGGGGUAUCGUUGUCUGAGCCCCAGUGUUGGACUGUCUCCCCCUCCCCGUGA